GUGCUGGAUUGAUGGUUGGAUUUGAUGGUCUUGGAAGUCUUUUUGAACCUAAACACUUCAAUGAUUCAGUGAUACCAUAAAGAAUCUUAUAAGCAUUUCCAGCUGUGCAUAAUGGUUCAUGGUAUUUCAUUGAUUGGUUCUUGAUUGGCUCUUGGGAGCCUGAUCUUUGUGCUGGGAGGAGUCAGCACUGGUUGCUCCAUCAGUGUAAUAAAAGGUCACCCUUGGAUUUGUAGGAGCCCAUAAAGAAACCUUCCAGAGGAUUUGGGUGAGACAUCUUGUAUCUUGCCUGUUGUUUUUUUCCUUAGUCUCCAGGUGUGUUCUUGGAGGAUGAAGACAAUUCUUCAGGAUGGGUGUAACUAUUGAUGCUCCUGGAAAAAGUUGCAAAAGAUCCUCUGCCCUCUGGGUCAUUAUCACCUCUGUGUCUCCAUUAGGCUGUGCACUGCUCAGCAAGCUGAGGCACUUUGGGCCAGCUGCAUCCCUGCAGGGAUGGACCUGACCCCAGCUGAGUCCUGCAGAGGACCCAGCUUAUUCAGAAUGCGGGAGAAGCAGCUCAGGCUCAGCAUGUGGGUGAGAGCCCAUGGUUACACCCUUUGUGGAGCAGCCCCCGUGUCAGGGCUGGGGAUUGCCUCAGCACUCUGUUAUGAUGAAGUAAGAGAAGGUCAUCUUGUACCAAAACCUCACAAAUUAAGUGUAGCACAGGAGACACAGGCUUCAGACACAUUUCUUGGGUAUUUUUGUUCUCUUAUGACCUCCAGCUCAGGUGCAUCCUGCAAAAACAAGAAACUCCUCUCCCUCCUCCAGGGAUGACACUGUACCUUUGGAAGAGUGAAUCCCUGCCACCAGGGGGGUAACCCAGGGCUUAUUGACCCAGAUCGUGGUGGCUCACUUCCAUCCAGGGGUUCAGGGAGAGAAAAUGUGGCACUUACUGCACUGAAAAAUGCACCAAGACCAAAUCCACCAGCACCCACCUGCACCCCAGUAACUUCUGGUAGGAAACCAUUUGGUGAGAGCCUCUGUCCUGCCCCCACUGCACUCACUGAAAAACUGCACCCAGGCAAGCCACCUGACAAUGAGCAUAGGUAUCAAAUGAGAUCUGUUUCUGGUGUGUUAUCAACAGCUGCAAACCAUGAGUUUUUUAGCUCUCCACAGAGUGAGGGUGAAGAUUUCUAAAGUGACUUGUGGGCUUCAGGUGCAGCUCAUGCACUUGAUAGACUCCACUCCCACUGGAGUGAAGACUUCUGCAGCUGCAUCAGAAAAAUGUUCCACCAGAGUAAACCCUGUUUCAGACUUCUUUGCUCAUCUAGAGACAACCCAAAAAUCAGAAGGUAAAAGUUUGGCCCCAGGGAAUUCAAAUACUUCAAUAGGACCAGAUUUCAUGCAAAAAAUCUGUUUACAGAGGAGGGACAAGGAACCAACCGUGUAUUGAUGGAAGAAGUUAGUUUGACCACUGUAUAUUUGUUAGAUAUAAUUAAGCUCAAUAGUUUUAUUUUCUGUGGUUCAUUUGUAUAAAAGUACCAUUGCCAGGAAAAGGUUGGCAUUAACCCUCAGCAAUAGAGAUUUUAUAAAGCAUUUAUAGGCGAGAAAUGCAUACAUGCUUGAUCUCUCUUAAAAUGUUUCCUUUGAAUUCUCCUUUGAUUAAAAAAGAAAAUCAAAUGUCUAUUCUCAAUGUAGCAUCAAAUUAAACCACAUGAAACAAAACUAAGCAAAGUGCCAAAACAUUUGUACCCUGUGCUGUGUUUAUCUGCACGUGUGCGUUCCUGUGGGUGUAUUUUUAUAUCUGCCCAAGUCAUCUCAUGGCAUCAGGGCAAUUAGGGAUGUGAGGGAUUCCUGGGUGCUGAGUUUUGGAAACAUGUUUAUUGAUAGGGAGGUAUUUCUCGCCUUGGCAUCUGAGCACAGUGAGGACUCCUCAUCUUCCAUGGGGGAAGCUCAAGAAGGAG
Passer domesticus (house sparrow) is the source of this 1937-nucleotide long non-coding RNA. RefSeq lists it as uncharacterized. NCBI's taxonomy places the organism in Eukaryota, Metazoa, Chordata, Aves, Passeriformes, Passeridae. The transcript has 2 exons. The record is from RefSeq and is a predicted model, not a curated record.